GGCUACGUAGCUUAGUGGUUAAAGCACUGGUAUCAUAAACCAGGAACCGCUGGUUCGAAUCCAGCCGUAGCCACCU
RNAcentral lists this transfer RNA (76 nucleotides) under Candidatus Amesbacteria bacterium RIFCSPHIGHO2_01_FULL_48_32b. RNAcentral's name for it is "tRNA-Met". It matches the Rfam family "tRNA". From Rfam's summary of the family: Transfer RNA (tRNA) molecules are approximately 80 nucleotides in length. Their secondary structure includes four short double-helical elements and three loops (D, anti-codon, and T loops). Further hydrogen bonds mediate the characteristic L-shaped molecular structure. tRNAs have two regions of fundamental functional importance: the anti-codon, which is responsible for specific mRNA codon recognition, and the 3' end, to which the tRNAs corresponding amino acid is attached (by aminoacyl-tRNA synthetases). tRNAs cope with the degeneracy of the genetic code in two manners: having more than one tRNA (with a specific anti-codon) for a particular amino acid; and 'wobble' base-pairing, i.e. permitting non-standard base-pairing at the 3rd anti-codon position. RNAcentral also lists the same sequence under 2 other names. Lineage: Bacteria; Candidatus Amesiibacteriota. The record is from RNAcentral.